This 102-nucleotide transfer RNA is filed under the name Thermofilum sp. ex4484_79. Its description in RNAcentral is "tRNA-Ser". It matches the Rfam family "tRNA". From Rfam's summary of the family: Transfer RNA (tRNA) molecules are approximately 80 nucleotides in length. Their secondary structure includes four short double-helical elements and three loops (D, anti-codon, and T loops). Lineage: Archaea; Thermoproteati; Thermoproteota; Thermoprotei; Thermofilales; Thermofilaceae. The record is from RNAcentral.
GCCGGGGUCGCCUAGCCAGGUUAAGCCCACCAGCAUCUAAGGGCGGCGGGUUGCUAACCCGCUGGCCGUAAGGCCACCCGGGUUCGAAUCCCGGCCCCGGCG